UUCUUAGAAGACACUCUUCUUUGACUCCAGUCCCUUAGAAAACCCCCUGCUAUUUAUCUCUGCAGAGAAAUAUGUGCUUGCGGAAAUUCUUGGAUAGUCUAUUAGGUUUUUUCCUAACUAUGAACUGCCACUACUUUGGAUUUUCUUAUUGCAAACAACAAAGCCCAAUAUAGUUUAGUGUGAUUGUGACAGCUCCUGGGCCUAGGUUCAUCUCGAUAAUUGCUGGUGUGGUUGUGAGAACUGCUUUUCUUAAUGAUAAUUUAGAGGAACUUUCUCCAGAGACUAGCUUCCACGGGUAGUUACACCCGUGAAAAGUCACCCCCCAUCAAGGUGACUCUUCACCAUUUGCCCUCAAGAUAAUCAGAAUUUUCAAAAUUCAAGAGAUUUGUCAAUAUGGGUUUUAACUAAACGGGAUCCA
This 418-nucleotide long non-coding RNA is filed under the name Phoenix dactylifera (date palm). RNAcentral describes it as "long non-coding RNA (PDAC_LNC006748)". Lineage: Eukaryota; Viridiplantae; Streptophyta; Magnoliopsida; Arecales; Arecaceae. The record is from RNAcentral.